RNAcentral lists this long non-coding RNA (8080 nucleotides) under Zea mays. RNAcentral's name for it is "long non-coding RNA (ZMAY_LNC002118)". Lineage: Eukaryota; Viridiplantae; Streptophyta; Magnoliopsida; Poales; Poaceae. The record is from RNAcentral.
ACAGUGUCCGGUGUGCACCGGACUGUCCGGUGCGCCCGAUGACAGAAGGCAAGAUCAGCCUUCCAGAAUUGCUCUCAACGGCUCCUAGCUGCCUUGGGGCUAUAAAAGGGAUCCCUAGGCGCAUGGAGGAGUACACCAAGCAACCUUAAAGCAUUCUUGAUCAUCCACACUCAGUCUUUGCGCAUUCGUUUGUCAUUCUCAGUGAUUCGAGCUCCGUUCUAGUGAGAACUUUGAGAUAGUCUUUUGAGCUCGAUUCUUGGCCGUGUGUGUGCGCAUUUUGCUGUGGAUUUGUGUGUGUUGCUUCCCUUCCUUACUCCGUGAUUCUUUGUGAACAUCAAAAGUGUAAGGGCGAGAGGCUCCAAGUUGUGGAGAUUCCUCGCGAACGGGAUAAGAAAAGAAAAGCAUAACACUGUGGUAUUCAAGUUGAUCAUUGGAUCACUUGAGAGGAGUUGAGUGCAACUCUCGUCCGUUGGGACGCCACAACGUGGAGUAGGCAAGUUUUGUACUUGGCCGAACCACGGGAUAAACCACUGUGUCCUCUCUGUGUUGAACUCUUUGUGGUUAUCGUAUUGUGCAAGAUCUUCUCUCUAGCCACUUGGCAUUAACUGUGCUAACGUUUAACCAAGUUUUGUGGCUUAAGUUUUAAAGUGUUACAGGAUCACCUAUUCACCCCCUCUCUAGGUGCUCUCAAUUGGUAUCAGAGCCGUUCUCUUCAAGAAAGGGACUAACCGCCCGAAGAGAUGGAUCCUAAAGGCAAGGGGAUGGUGAUCAACGACAAGGAAAAGGAGUCCUUCGUCAACGAGCCAAGGGAUGACAAGUCCAACGACUCGGGCUCGGGCCACAAAAGAAAAGAUGGGAGGAAGAAGAAGACAAGGCGCAUCAAGGAAAUUGUCUACUACGACAGCGACGAAUCUUCCUCCUCCCAAAAGGACGACGACGACUACGAUAGACGAAAGACGGUUAACUCAAACUUUUCUUUCGAUUAUUCGCGCAUCCCGCAUAGCUCAAAUGCUCAAUUGCUCCCCAUUCCACUUGGCAAGCCCCCUCACUUCGAUGGAGAGGACUACGGAUUUUGGAGCCAUAAAAUGCGUACUCACCUGUUUUCUCUCCAUCCAAGCAUUUGGGAGAUUGUGGAAAGUGGAAUGAAAUUUGAUAGCUCGGAUAGCCCUGUGUUUAUUAAUGAACAGAUUCAUAAAAAUGCACAAGCUACUACUGUGUUGCUAGCCUCUUUGUGCAGGGACGAGUAUCACAAGGUGAGCGGCUUGGACAAUGCCAAGCAGAUCUGGGACACCCUCAAGAUCUCUCAUGAGGGAAACGACGUCACCUUGCUCACCAAAAUGGAGUUGGUGGAGGGUGAGCUUGGACGGUUCGCGAUGAUAAGGGGCGAGGAGCCGACACAAACAUACAACAGGCUCAAGACCCUCAUCAACAAAAUAAGGAGCUACGGGAGCACGCGAUGGACGGACCACGACGUCGUCCGCCUAAUGCUAAGGUCAUUUACCAUUCUUGAUCCUCAUUUGGUAAACAAUAUACGUGAAAAUCCUAGGUACACCAAGAUGUCGCCCGAAGAAGUUCUUGGGAAAUUCGUUAGCGGGCGAAUGAUGAUCAAGGAGGCGAGGUACGUGGACGACGCCUUGAAUGGUCCGAUCAACGAGCCGCAACCCGUUGCUCUCAAGGCAACACGAAGCAAGGAGGCGCUACCUAGCAAGGUGGCACAAAUUGAGGCGGCCGGACUUAAUGAUGAAGAGAUGGCUCUCAUCAUCAAAAGAUUCAAGACGGUGCUUAAAGGUCGCAAAGGACAGCCUAGCAAGACCAAAGCCAAGGGGAAGCGCUCAUGCUUCAAAUGCGGUAAGCUUGGUCAUUUUAUUGCUAACUGUCCCAACAAUGAUAGUGAUCAGGAUCAAGGGAACAAGAGGGAGAAAAAGAAGAACUAUAAGAAGGCAAAGGGCGAGGCUCAUCUUGGCAAGGAGUGGGAUUCGGACUGCUCUUCGUCCGACUCCGACAAUGAAGGACUCGCCGCCACUGCCUUCAACAAGUCAUCCCUCUUCCCCAACGAGCGACACACUUGCCUCAUGGCAAGGGAGAAGAAAGUAAGCACUCAUAAUACUAGUACUUAUGCUUCUUCAAGUGAGGAUGAGUCUAGUGAUGAUGAUGAGAUAGAUUACUCAUGCUUAUUCAAGGGAUUAGAUAGAACCAAGGUAGACAAAAUUAAUGAAUUGAUUGAUGCCUUGAAUGAUAGGAAUAUACUUUUAGAAAAGCAAGAGGAUUUGUUGUAUGAAGAACAUGAUAAAUUUGUAGAAGCUCAGAAAUCUCUUGCUCUAGAAAUUAAGAGAAAUGAAAUGCUCUCUAGUGAACUGUCUUCUUGUCAUGAAACUAUUGCUAAGUUAAAGAAUUUUAAUGAUGAUUUAAAUGCUAGACUAGAAGUAGCUAGUAAAUCUAAUUCUUGUGUAGAAAUUGUUGAAACUUGUAAUAGGUGUAAAGAUUUUGACAUUGAUGCUUGUAGUGAUCAUUUAGUUUCAAUUUCAAAAUUGAAUGAUGAAGUGGCUAGUCUUAAUGCCCAACUUAAGACUAGCAAAAGCGAAUUUGAUAAAUUAAAAUUUGCAAGGGAUGCCUAUACGAUUGGUAGACAUCCCUCAAUUAAGGAUGGACUUGGCUUCAAGAGGGAAGCCAAGAACUUAACAAGCCAUAAGGCUCCCAUUCCUGCCAAGGAGAAAGGGAAGGCCCCUAUGGCUGGUAGUGCUAAAAAGAACCAUGCUUUUAUGUAUCAUGAUAGGAGACAUACUAGAAAUGCAAUUAGAAGUUAUAAUGUUUUUGAUUCAUAUGUUUAUGAUUCUCAUGACAUGUUUGCUUCUAGUUCUUUCUAUGUGCAUGAUAGGAAUGUUGGUAGGAGAAAUGCUGUUCAUAAUAUGCCUAGGAGAAAUGUUGUUAGGAAAGUAAAUGAACCUUCUACAAUAUAUCAUGCGUUAAAUGCUUCUUUUGCUAUUUGUAGAAAGGAUAGGAAGAUAGUUGCUAAAAAAUUAGGGGCAAGAUGCAAGGAAGAUAAAACUUGCAUUUGGGUCCCUAAGGAUAUUUGUGCUAACCUUGCAGGACCCAACAUGAGUUGGGUACCUAAGACCCAAGCCUAAAUUUGCCUUGCAGGUAUAUGCAUCCGGGGGUUCAAGCUGGAUUAUUGACAGCGGAUGCACAAACCAUAUGACGGGGGAGAAGAAGAUGUUCACCUCCUACGUCAAGAAUAAAGAUUCCCAAGAUUCAAUAAUAUUCGGUGAUGGGAAUCAAGGCAAGGUAAAAGGGUUAGGUAAAAUUGCAAUCUCAAAUGAGCACUCUAUCUCUAAUGUGUUUUUAGUAGAGUCUCUUGGAUAUAAUUUGCUAUCUGUUAGUCAAUUAUGCAAUAUGGGAUAUAACUGUUUGUUUACAAAUGUAGAUGUGUCUGUCUUUAGAAGAUGUGAUGGUUCACUAGCUUUUAAGGGUAUUCUAGACGGCAAGCUUUACUUAGUUGAUUUUGCAAAAGAAGAGGCCAGUCUAGAUGCAUGCUUAAUGGCUAAGACUUGCAUGGGCUGGCUGUGGCAUCGCCGCUUAGCGCAUGUGGGGAUGAAGAACCUCCACAAGCUUCUAAAGGGAGAACACGUGAUAGGUCUAACCAAUGUUCAUUUCGAAAAAGAUAGACCUUGUGCAGCUUGUCAAGCAGGGAAACAGGUGGGAGGCUCUCAUCACACCAAAAAUGUGAUGACAACAUCAAGACCCCUGGAGCUGCUACAUAUGGACCUCUUCGGACCCGUCGCCUAUCUGAGCAUAGGAGGAAGUAAGUAUGGUCUAGUUAUCGUUGAUGACUUUUCCCGCUUCACUUGGGUGUUCUUUUUGUAGGAUAAGUCUGAAACCCAAGGGACCCUCAAGCGCUUCCUCAGGAGAGCUCAAAAUGAGUUUGAGCUCAAGGUGAAGAAGAUAAGGAGCGACAAUGGGUCCGAGUUCAAGAACCUUCAAGUGGAGGAGUUCCUUGAGGAGGAAGGGAUCAAGCACGAGUUCUCCGCUCCCUACACACCACAGCAAAAUGGUGUGGUAGAGAGGAAGAACAGGACGCUAAUCGAUAUGGCGAGGACGAUGCUUGGAGAAUUCAAGACCCCCGAGUGUUUCUGGUCGAAAGCCGUGAACACGGCUUGCCACGCCAUCAACAGGGUCUACCUUCAUCGCCUCCUCAGGAAAACUUCGUAUGAGCUACUAACCGGUAACAAACCCAAUGUAUCUUACUUUCGUGUAUUUGGGAGCAAGUGCUACAUUCUAGUGAAGAAGGGUAGAAAUUCUAAAUUUGCUCCCAAAGCUGUAGAAGGGUUUUUGUUAGGUUAUGACUCAAAUACAAAGGCGUAUAGAGUCUUCAACAAAUCAUCGGGUUUGGUUGAAGUCUCUAGCGACGUUGUAUUUGAUGAGACUAAUGGCUCUCCAAGAGAGCAAGUUGUUGAUUGUGAUGAUGUAGAUGAAGAAGAUGUUCCGACGGCCGCUAUACGAACCAUGGCGACUGGAGAAGUGCGACCACAGGAACAAGAUGAAUGAGAUCAACCUUCUUCCUCAACAACGGUGCAUCCCCCACCUCAAGAUGAUGAACAGGUUCAUCAAAAGGAGGCGUGUGAUCAAGGGGGAGCACAAGAUGUUCACGUGAUGGAGGAAGAAGCGCAACCGGCACCUCCAACCCAAGUUCGAGCGAUGAUUCAAAGGGAUCAUCCCGUCGACCAAAUUCUGGGUGACAUUAGCAAGGGAGUAACUACUCGAUCUCGAUUAGUUAAUUUUUGUGAGCAUUACUCCUUUGUCUCUUCUAUUGAGCCUUUCAGGGUAGAGGAGGCCUUGCUAGAUCCGGAUUGGGUAUUGGCCAUGCAGGAGGAACUCAACAACUUCAAGCGCAAUGAAGUGUGGACACUGGUGCCUCGUCCCAAGCAAAAUGUUGUGGGAACCAAGUGGGUGUUCCGCAACAAACAGGACGAGCACGGGGUGGUGACGAGGAACAAGGCUCGACUUGUGGCAAAAGGUUAUGCCCAAGUCGCAGGUUUGGACUUUGAGGAGACGUUUGCUCCUGUGGCUAGGCUAGAAUCAAUUCGUAUCUUGCUAGCAUAUGCCGCUCACCAUUCUUUCAGGUUGUACCAAAUGGAUGUGAAGAGCGCUUUCCUCAACGGGCCAAUCAAGGAGGAGGUGUACGUGGAGCAACCCCCUGGCUUCGAGGAUGAACGGUACCCCGACCACGUGUGUAAGCUCUCUAAGGCGCUCUAUGGACUUAAGCAAGCUCCAAGAGCAUGGUAUGAAUGCCUUAGAGACUUUCUAAUUAUUAAUGCUUUCAAGGUUGGGAAAGCCGAUCCAACUCUGUUUACUAAGACAUGUGAUGGUGAUUUGUUUGUGUGCCAAAUUUAUGUCGAUGACAUAAUAUUUGGUUCUACUAACCAAAAGUCUUGUGAAGAGUUUAGCAGGGUGAUGACGCAGAAAUUCGAGAUGUCAAUGAUGGGCGAGUUGAACUACUUCCUUGGGUUCCAAGUGAAGCAACUCAAAGAUGGCACCUUCAUCUCCCAAACGAAGUACACGCAAGAUCUGCUAAAGCGGUUUGGGAUGAAGGACGCCAAGCCCGCAAAGACUCCGAUGGGGACCGACGGACACACCGACCUCAACAAAGGAGGUAAGUCCGUUGAUCAAAAAGCAUACCGGUCAAUGAUAGGGUCUUUACUUUAUUUAUGUGCUAGUAGACCGGACAUUAUGCUUAGCGUAUGCAUGUGUGCUAGAUUUCAAUCCGAUCCUAAGGAGUGUCACUUAGUGGCAGUGAAGCGAAUUCUUAGAUAUUUGGUUGCUACGCCUUGCUUCGGGCUCUGGUAUCCAAAGGGGUCUACCUUUGACUUGGUUGGAUACUCAAAUUCCGACUAUGCUGGAUGUAAGGUCGAUAGGAAAAGUACAUCGGGGACGUGCCAAUUCUUAGGAAGGUCCCUGGUGUCAUGGAACUCUAAGAAACAAACCUCCGUUGCCCUAUCCACCGCUGAGGCCGAGUACGUUGCCGCAGGACAGUGUUGCGCGCAACUACUUUGGAUGAGGCAAACCCUCAGGGACUUUGGCUACAAUCUGAGCAAAGUCCCACUCCUAUGUGAUAAUGAGAGUGCCAUCCGCAUGGCGGAAAAUCCUGUUGAACACAGCCGCACAAAGCACAUUGACAUCCGGCAUCACUUUCUGAGAGACCACCAGCAAAAGGGAGAUAUCGAAGUGUUUCAUGUUAGCACCGAGAACCAGCUAGCCGAUAUCUUUACCAAGCCUCUAGAUGAGAAGACCUUUUGCAGGCUGCGUAGUGAGCUCAAUAUCUUAGAUUCGCGGAACUUGGAUUGAAAUGUAGCAUACAUAUGUUUAUGCUUUUGAUCAUUCUGCAUUUUGUUGUUUAUUGUGGUGCUCAAGUUGUCCAAACACUCCCUGGACCUCACAAGUCCGUUGCAAAGUGAUGCACAGUUUUAGGGGGAGAUGUGUUACAACUUGACCCUUUGAGACUAACCAUAUGCUUGAGUUUGCUUGUUUUAGUCUCGAAGGAGAUUUAAAAGGAAAAAGGUGGACUUGGACCAUGCAAGACUUCCACUGCACUCCGAUGAAAAGAGUAACUUUUCCAAGUUCAUCUUUUAACUCUUAUUGCCUAUUUGCUCUUAAUUGAAGAUUUUGGUGAGGCAAUGGGGUUAAAGGGCCAAGAUUGAUCCCGUUUUGGUGCUUGAUGCCAAAGGGGGAGAAAAUAAAGGCCAAAGCGAUAAAUGGAUCAGCUACCACUUGAGAGAUUUUGAAAAUAGUAGAAUAGAGCUUUUUGUUUUGACAAAACUCUUGCAUUGUCUCUUUUGUCAAAAGUUGGCCUCUUGUGGGGAGAAGUGUUGAUUAUGGGAAAAAGGGGGGGUUUUUGGAAUCUUGAAUCAAUUUUCUUUGGAAAACCUCUCUUUAUGUCUCUACAAGUGGAUUUGACUUAGAGAUAGGAUUUUGUGUUUGAUUUGCAAAAACAAACCAAGUGGUGGCAAAGGAUGAUCCAUAUAUGCCAAAUUGAAUCAAAAUAAAUUUGAGUUUUUAUUUGAAGUGAUAUUGCACUUGUUCUAGUUGCUUUAUGUUGUGUUGGCAUAAAUCACCAAAAAGGGGGAGAUUGAAAGGGAAAUGUGCCCUUGGGCCAUUUCUAAGUAUUUUGGUGAUUGAGUGCCAACACAAGUGCUUAAAUGUGAAUCUAUGCCCAUGGAUGAACAAAGUGCAAAUCAAGAGCAAAGGUAUGUUUCUAAGUCUUAGUACAUUGGUUUUGUGUACUAAUAUACUUGUCUAAGUAUCAGAAACAGAAAGAAGAAGAAAAGAGAAGAGUUGGCUGUGUACAGCCAAGAGGCUGUUUCGGUCUGGGGCACCGGACUGUCCGGUGGUGCACCGGACAGUGUCCGGUGGUGCACCGGACAGUGUCCGGUGCGCCAGGCUGGCUCGAGCGAAGUGGCCGCUCUCGGGAAUUCGCCGACGACGUACGGCUAAAAUUCACCGGACUGUCCGGUGUGCACCGGACUGUCCGGUGAGCCAACGGUCGGCCGGUCCAACGGUCGGCCGCGGAAUCUGCGCGCGACACGUGGCCGGGCCAACGGUCGGAAGGGGGCACCGGACUGUCCGGUGUGAACCGGACAUGUCCGGUGCGCCAACGGCUCCCAGAUCUACAACGGUCGGCUGUGCCAUUUUAGGAAGGAGAUCGGGCACCGGACAGUGUCCGGUGUGCACCGGACUGUCCGGUGCGCCCGAUGACAGAAGGCAAGAUCAGCCUUCCAGAAUUGCUCUCAACGGCUCCUAGCUGCCUUGGGGCUAUAAAAGGGACCCCUAGGCGCAUGGAGGAGUACACCAAGCAACCUUAAAGCAUUCUUGAUCAUCCACACUCAGUCUUUGCGCAUUCGUUUGUCAUUCUCAGUGAUUCGAGCUCCGUUCUAGUGAGAACUUUGAGAUAGUCUUUUGAGCUCGAUUCUUGGCCGUGUGUGUGCGCAUUUUGCUGUGGAUUUGUGUGUGUUGCUUCCCUUCCUUACUCCGUGAUUCUUUGUGAACAUCAAAAGUGUAAGGGCGAGAGGCUCCAAGUUGUGGAGAUUCC